CAGUGAUGUGACAUUGUCAAUGAAGCCGUGCACUAGAAUCAGCAAUAAAUGGAGAGAGUCAGCAGUGGAACAGAAAUAUUUGACUGAGUCAAGAAUGUCUUGUGUACCACAAACACAACAACAUAUCACAAUAAACUGAAUGCAAAAGCAAAUAUAAGAACCCAGGAGUUUGUCAUUGGAGUUGAUAAUAAAGUUUUUCAAAAAUGUAAAGCA
Molecule: long non-coding RNA, 213 nt
Filed under: Callithrix jacchus (white-tufted-ear marmoset)
Lineage: Eukaryota; Metazoa; Chordata; Mammalia; Primates; Cebidae
Description: lncRNA (ENSCJAG00000078548.1)
Source: RNAcentral